This 374-nucleotide ribosomal RNA is filed under the name uncultured bacterium. RNAcentral describes it as "bacterial SSU rRNA". It matches the Rfam family "Bacterial small subunit ribosomal RNA", at positions 29 to 429 of the family's 1533-position model. The record is from RNAcentral.
AGCGAACGCUGGCGGCAGGCUUAACACAUGCAAGUCGAGCGGGCGUAGCAAUACGUCAGCGGCAGACGGGUGAGUAACGCGUGGGAACAUACCUUUUGGUUCGGAACAACACAGGGAAACUUGUGCUAAUACCGGAUAAGCCCUUACGGGGAAAGAUUUAUCGCCGAAAGAUUGGCCCGCGUCUGAUUAGCUAGUUGGUGAGGUAAUGGCUCACCAAGGCGACGAUCAGUAGCGGUCUGAGAGGAUGAUCAGCCACAUUGGGACCGAGACACGGCCCAAACUCCUACGGGAGGCAGCAGUGGGGAAUAUUGGACAAUGGGCGCAAGCCUGAUCCAGCCAUGCCGCGUGAGUGAUGAAGGCCCUAGGGUUGUAAA